CAGAUAAGAACAUUUCUAUUUCGAUAUUUCUCUCAGAGCAGCUUCUGAUCUAAGAAUGCAAUAUUCAAUAAUAAAAGCAUCAUACUGGCGUCAAUUAAAGUCUUAUUUCCAGCAAGUAAAUAAAAGCCGACAAGUUGGACGUUAAAGACGCAUUUAGUGAGAAGUUAUCAUCUGAAUUGCAAAAAGGUGAUGUUCAAAGAAAUAAGAUGCUGAUCCUAUUUUAAAUGACACAUAGAUGUGAUGAAAGAUUUACGCGACAAAAGUCUCUGAAAACACAUAUGACAAUUCUUACUGUCGAGAAGAAUCAUGUAUGUAAAAUUUAUGAUAUAGCAUUUUCUCAAGAACUAUAUCUUAUAAAACAUAUGGUAUCACAGACUGGUUAGAAGAAUUAAAUAUGUAACAUAUUUGAUAAAGCAUUUUCUCAACAAAAUACUUUGAUCAUGCAUAUGACAAUACAUACUGGCGACAAGAAUCAUAGAUGUAAAAUAUGUAAGAAAACAUUUUCUCAUCGUGGUAAUUUGAUCACACAUAUGACAAUACACACUGGCGAGAAGAAUCAUGUAUGUGACAUUUCUGAUAAAGUAUUUUCCUAAGAACGAUAUCUUAUCAUACAUAUGGCAUCACAUACUGGCGAGAAGAAUUAUAUAUGCAAAAUAUGUGAUAAAACAUUUUCUCAACGAAGUUCUCUGGAUAGACAUAUGACAAUACAUACUGGCGAGAAAUGUAUGUAAAAUUUGUGAUAAAGCAUUUUCUCAAGGACGGUAUCUUAUCAAUCAUAUGGUAACACAUACUGGUGAGAAGAAUUAUAUAUGUGACAUAUGUGAUAAAGGAUUUUCUCAAAAGAGUACUUUAAACAGGCAUAUGACAAUACAUACUGGCGAGAAAAGACAUAGAUUUAAAUGUAAAAUAUGUAAUAAAACAUUUUCUUAUCCAAGUAAUUUGAUCACACAUAUGAAAGUACAUACUGGCGAGAAGAAUUAUAAAUGUGAAAUAUGUGACAAAUCAUUUUUGCAACGAGGUGCUUUGAUCACACAUAUGACAAUACACACUGGCGAGAGAAAACAUUUAUGUAAUUUUUGUGGUAAAGUAUUUUCUAACCGCUAUUCUCUGAAAACACAUAUGGCAAUACAUACUGGUGAAAAGAAUUAUAAAUAUAGCAUGUGAUCAAA
Long non-coding RNA from Ruditapes philippinarum (Manila clam), 1169 nucleotides. RefSeq lists it as uncharacterized. The record is from RefSeq and is a predicted model, not a curated record. NCBI's taxonomy places the organism in Eukaryota, Metazoa, Mollusca, Bivalvia, Venerida, Veneridae. The transcript is spliced from 2 exons.